CCCGCACAAGCGGUGGAGCAUGUGGUUUAAUUCGAUGCAACGCGAAGACCUUACCUGGGCUUGACAUCCACGGAACCUGCUGGAAACAGUGGGGUGCCCUUCGGGGAGCCGUGAGACAGGUGCUGCAUGGCUGUCGUCAGCUCGUGUCGUGAGAUGUUGGGUUAAGUCCCGCAACGAGCGCAACCCUUGUCUUUAAUUGCCAUCAUUCAGUUGGGCACUUUAAAGAGACUGUCGGUGUUAAACCGGAGGAAGGUGGGAUGACGUCAAGUCCUCAUGGCCUUUAUGCUUAGGGCUACACACGUGCUACAAUGGGUGGUACAAAGAGAAGCCAACUCGCGAGAGCGCGCCAAUCUCAAAAAGCCAUCCUCAGUUCGGAUUGUAGGCUGCAACUCGCCUACAUGAAGUCGGAAUCGCUAGUAAUCGCGGAUCAGCACGCCGCGGUGAAUACGUUCCCGGGCCUU
Molecule: ribosomal RNA, 461 nt
Filed under: uncultured Syntrophus sp.
Lineage: Bacteria; Pseudomonadati; Thermodesulfobacteriota; Syntrophia; Syntrophales; Syntrophaceae
Description: bacterial SSU rRNA
Rfam family: Bacterial small subunit ribosomal RNA
Source: RNAcentral